UCCUACGGGAGGCAGCAGCAAGGAAUUUUGCGCAAUGGGCGAAAGCCUGACGCAGCGACGCCGCGUGGGGGAAGAAGGCCUUCGGGUUGUAAACCUCUUUUCUCGAGGAAGAAUAAUGACGGUACUCGAGGAAUAAGUCUUGGCUAACUACGUGCCAGCAGCCGCGGUAAUACGUAGAAGGCGAACGUUAUUCGGAUUUACUGGGCGUAAAGCGGGUGCAGACGGCCCCUUAAGUCGGGUGUGAAAUCUCUUGACUCAAUCAGGAGGGGUCAUUCGAUACUGAGGAGCUUGAGGGCGGCAGAAGAAGGCGGAAUUCCCGGUGUAGCGGUGAUAUGCGUAGAUAUCGGGAGGAACACCAGUGGCGAAGGCGGCCUUCUAGGCUGUUCCUGACGUUGAGACCCAAAAGCGUGGGGAGCGAAACGGAUUAGAUACCCCGGUAGUCCAAGCCG
This 449-nucleotide ribosomal RNA is filed under the name uncultured bacterium. Its description in RNAcentral is "bacterial SSU rRNA". It matches the Rfam family "Bacterial small subunit ribosomal RNA", at positions 337 to 802 of the family's 1533-position model. The record is from RNAcentral.